Molecule: ribosomal RNA, 396 nt
Filed under: uncultured bacterium
Lineage: Bacteria
Description: partial 16S ribosomal RNA
Rfam family: Bacterial small subunit ribosomal RNA
Source: RNAcentral
AUACGUAGGUGACAAGCGUUAUCCGGAUUUACUGGGUGUAAAGGGCGUGUAGGCGGUUUAGCAAGUCAGAAGUGAAAUUCCCGGGCUUAACUUGGGCGCUGCUUCUGAAACUGCUUUACUUGAGUGCUGGAGAGGAUAGUGGAAUUCCUAGUGUAGCGGUAAAAUGCGCAGAUAUUAGGAGGAACACCGGUGGCGAAGGCGGCUAUCUGGACAGUAACUGACGCUGAGGCGCGAAAGCACGGGGAGCAAACAGGAUUAGAUACCCUGGUAGUCCGUGCCGUAAACGAUGAAUACUAGGUGCAGGGGGUAUCGACUCCCUCUGUGCCGCAGUUAACACAUUAAGUAUUCCACCUGGGGAGUACGGCCGCAAGGUUGAAACUCAAAUGAAUUGACGGG